RNAcentral lists this ribosomal RNA (292 nucleotides) under uncultured bacterium. Its description in RNAcentral is "partial 16S ribosomal RNA". It matches the Rfam family "Bacterial small subunit ribosomal RNA", at positions 505 to 796 of the family's 1533-position model. The record is from RNAcentral.
GUGUCAGCAGCCGCGGUAAUACGAAGGGGGCUAGCGUUGCUCGGAAUUACUGGGCGUAAAGGGCGCGUAGGCGGACAGUUAAGUUGGGGGUGAAAGCCCGGGGCUCAACCUCGGAAUUGCCUUCAAUACUGGCUGUCUUGAGUGUGAGAGAGGUGUGUGGAACUCCGAGUGUAGAGGUGAAAUUCGUAGAUAUUCGGAAGAACACCAGUGGCGAAGGCGACACACUGGCUCACUACUGACGCUGAGGCGCGAAAGCGUGGGGAGCAAACAGGAUUAGAAACCCCCGUAGUCC